RNAcentral lists this transfer RNA (57 nucleotides) under Loxodonta africana (African savanna elephant). It matches the Rfam family "tRNA", at positions 8 to 63 of the family's 71-position model. From Rfam's summary of the family: Transfer RNA (tRNA) molecules are approximately 80 nucleotides in length. Lineage: Eukaryota; Metazoa; Chordata; Mammalia; Proboscidea; Elephantidae. The record is from Rfam by way of RNAcentral.
UGGCUCAGUGGUUAAGCACUCAGCUGCUAAUUGAAAGGUUGGUGGUUCGAACCCACC